RNAcentral lists this transfer RNA (72 nucleotides) under Candidatus Levybacteria bacterium RIFCSPLOWO2_12_FULL_37_14. Its description in RNAcentral is "tRNA-Met". It matches the Rfam family "tRNA". Rfam says of the family: Transfer RNA (tRNA) molecules are approximately 80 nucleotides in length. Lineage: Bacteria; Candidatus Levyibacteriota. The record is from RNAcentral.
GCCAGGGUAGCUCAAUGGUGGAGCACAACAUUCAUAACGUUGAGGUUGUGGGUUCGAUCCCCACCCCUGGUA